This 253-nucleotide ribosomal RNA is filed under the name uncultured bacterium. RNAcentral's name for it is "partial 16S ribosomal RNA". It matches the Rfam family "Bacterial small subunit ribosomal RNA", at positions 524 to 776 of the family's 1533-position model. The record is from RNAcentral.
UACGGAGGGUGCGAGCGUUGUCCGGAAUCAUUGGGCGUAAAGGGCGCGUAGGUGGCCCGGUCAGUCUUUGGUGAAAGCCCGGGGCUCAACCCCGGAACAGCCUUUAAGACUGCAUCGCUAGAAUCCGGGAGAGGUGAGUGGAAUUCCGAGUGUAGAGGUGAAAUUCGUAGAUAUUCGGAAGAACACCAGUGGCGAAGGCGGCUCACUGGACCGGUAUUGACGCUGAGGUGCGAAAGCGUGGGGAGCAAACAGG